RNAcentral lists this transfer RNA (71 nucleotides) under Otolemur garnettii (small-eared galago). It matches the Rfam family "tRNA". From Rfam's summary of the family: Transfer RNA (tRNA) molecules are approximately 80 nucleotides in length. Their secondary structure includes four short double-helical elements and three loops (D, anti-codon, and T loops). Further hydrogen bonds mediate the characteristic L-shaped molecular structure. tRNAs have two regions of fundamental functional importance: the anti-codon, which is responsible for specific mRNA codon recognition, and the 3' end, to which the tRNAs corresponding amino acid is attached (by aminoacyl-tRNA synthetases). tRNAs cope with the degeneracy of the genetic code in two manners: having more than one tRNA (with a specific anti-codon) for a particular amino acid; and 'wobble' base-pairing, i.e. permitting non-standard base-pairing at the 3rd anti-codon position. The record is from Rfam by way of RNAcentral. Lineage: Eukaryota; Metazoa; Chordata; Mammalia; Primates; Galagidae.
GCCUGUGGCUCAGUGGGUAAAGUGUUGGCCACACAUACCAAGGGUGGCGGGUUCGAACCCCGCCCCAGGCA